UAGGGAAUCUUCGGCAAUGGACGAAAGUCUGACCGAGCAACGCCGCGUGAGUGAAGAAGGUUUUCGGAUCGUAAAACUCUGUUGUUAGAGAAGAACAAGGACGUUAGUAACUGAACGUCCCCUGACGGUAUCUAACCAGAAAGCCACGGCUAACUACGUGCCAGCAGCCGCGGUAAUACGUAGGUGGCAAGCGUUGUCCGGAUUUAUUGGGCGUAAAGCGAGCGCAGGCGGUUUCUUAAGUCUGAUGUGAAAGCCCCCGGCUCAACCGGGGAGGGUCAUUGGCAACUGGGAGACAUGAGUGCAGAAGAGGAGAGUGGAAUUCCAUGUGUAGCGGUGAAAUGCGUAGAUAUAUGGAGGAACACCAGUGGCGAAGGCGGCUCGAUGGUCUGUAACUGACGCUGAGGCUAGAAAGCGUGGGGAGCAAACAGG
Molecule: ribosomal RNA, 429 nt
Filed under: Gemmatimonadota bacterium
Lineage: Bacteria; Pseudomonadati; Gemmatimonadota
Description: Gemmatimonadetes bacterium partial 16S ribosomal RNA
Rfam family: Bacterial small subunit ribosomal RNA
Source: RNAcentral